AACGAUGCAAUGAUAAGGAAGAGUAAAAAGUACGCGUAGGCAAGAGAGGGAACGGUAGCUGAGAAGUUUCUACUAAAGCGCUUUUGAAGGUAGCCUUGGAGCAACAUUUGUGAACAACAGUAGCAAAUGUCGGCAGCUAAGCCGUUAUGUAUUGAGUGCUAAGCUUCGGCUUGGAAUAAAGGUGGUACCGCGAAAGCUCCUUCGUCCUUUUU
Molecule: non-coding RNA, 212 nt
Organism: Lysinibacillus sp. BF-4
Lineage: Bacteria; Bacillati; Bacillota; Bacilli; Caryophanales; Bacillaceae
Source: Rfam